GGAAGUGAUGUCAGUUACAGAAGGAAGUUCCGGGUGAGAGGUGAAACGGGAGGAAGUAGUGAGAAGACAUUGUUGAAACUGGCAGUAGAUGAGGGAACUGGCAAAGAUCACAUGACCAAUGAGGAUGAAGGAAGAUUGGAGUCACAUGACUGAGAAGAUACUAAACCUCACCCUGGAGAUCAUCUACCUGCUGACCGGAGAGAGAUUUCCUCUUGUGAA
Long non-coding RNA from Rana temporaria (common frog), 219 nucleotides. RefSeq lists it as uncharacterized. The transcript is spliced from 3 exons. NCBI's taxonomy places the organism in Eukaryota, Metazoa, Chordata, Amphibia, Anura, Ranidae. The record is from RefSeq and is a predicted model, not a curated record.